AGCGAACGCUGGCGGCAGGCUUAACACAUGCAAGUCGAGCGGGCGUAGCAAUACGUCAGCGGCAGACGGGUGAGUAACGCGUGGGAACAUACCUUUUGGUUCGGAACAACACAGGGAAACUUGUGCUAAUACCGGAUAAGCCCUUACGGGGAAAGAUUUAUCGCCGAAAGAUUGGCCCGCGUCUGAUUAGCUAGUUGGUGAGGUAACGGCUCACCAAGGCGACGAUCAGUAGCUGGUCNGAGAGGAUGAUCAGCCACAUUGGGACUGAGACACGGCCCAAACUCCUACGGGAGGCAGCAGUGGGGAAUCUUGCGCAAUGGGCGAAAGCCUGACGCAGCGACGCCGCGUGAGGGAUGACGGCCU
RNAcentral lists this ribosomal RNA (363 nucleotides) under uncultured bacterium. RNAcentral describes it as "bacterial SSU rRNA". It matches the Rfam family "Bacterial small subunit ribosomal RNA", at positions 29 to 417 of the family's 1533-position model. The record is from RNAcentral.